CAGGCCUAACACAUGCAAGUCGAGCGAACUGAUUAGAAGCUUGCUUCUAUGACGUUAGCGGCGGACGGGUGAGUAACACGUGGGCAACCUGCCUGUAAGACUGGGAUAACUUCGGGAAACCGAAGCUAAUACCGGAUAGGAUCUUCUCCUUCAUGGGAGAUGAUUGAAAGAUGGUUUCGGCUAUCACUUACAGAUGGGCCCGCGGUGCAUUAGCUAGUUGGUGAGGUAACGGCUCACCAAGGCAACGAUGCAUAGCCGACCUGAGAGGGUGAUCGGCCACACUGGGACUGAGACACGGCCCAGACUCCUACGGGAGGCAGCAGUAGGGAAUCUUCCGCAAUGGACGAAAGUCUGACGGAGCAACGCCGCGUGAGUGAUGAAGGCUUUCGGGUCGUAAAACUCUGUUGUUAGGGAAGAACA
Molecule: ribosomal RNA, 420 nt
Filed under: Bacillus sp. Lgg5.11
Lineage: Bacteria; Bacillati; Bacillota; Bacilli; Caryophanales; Bacillaceae
Description: bacterial SSU rRNA
Rfam family: Bacterial small subunit ribosomal RNA
Source: RNAcentral